This 1284-nucleotide long non-coding RNA is filed under the name Citrus x clementina. RNAcentral describes it as "Citrus clementina (C. clementina) long non-coding RNA (CCLE_LNC004467)". Lineage: Eukaryota; Viridiplantae; Streptophyta; Magnoliopsida; Sapindales; Rutaceae. The record is from RNAcentral.
AUAUCAUUAUCUCUUUGUUUCAGCCUCCAUUCUUCUAUGACUUUCGUUCCCUGUAAAAUUCCCCUUCACCCAUACAAUACAUCUUCCUAUCUUCUAUUUCCAAGUUCCAAACUCUUAAUUUCACCCAUUAUUUAUAUAGACCCAAAAUCGUAAACCCUAACUGUUCACACAUAGUCGAAGUGAAGACAAAUUGAGAAGAAAUCUGGAAGCUCUGGACCACACAUGUUGGCAAGAAGAUUAUAAAGCUUGGAACCACAUCACUAUCAAGGAAAUUGUUGAAGCAUUUGGCUACCUUGGAUAUUGGAUUUUAAAAGUUUCGGUCCCACAUAAAGGUACUUUCUUUCCUUUUGUUUAAUCAUGUUUGAGAAAGAAAAUGAUAGAUUGUUUGAUUGUGGGUGGCCUACAUGUGCUGUUUUUUUUUCCUUUUCUUUGUCUAAUUUACUCUAUUUGAAUAGCAAAUGUUGACAAUAUGGAUGAACAGUAAAAUUAUUUCUGGGGAUUAAUAUUUUAGGGAAGUUACAAAUUUGGUCGAAUCAUGUCAUGCUCCUUUGAAAUUUAAUCAGUUAUCAAUCUCAGAACCUCACGACUUCUAUUCUUGUCCUUCAGAAUCGUCAACUUGACCUCUCUUCCUUUUAAUUGGAUUAUCUUUCUUUUCUUUUCCCCUUCUCUUUUCUUUCAUCUUAUCUUUUACGAAACUGGGAAACCAAAAACGACAAGCGCCAUGUGGGAUUUGUUGCAAAAUUAUAAAUAUUUCAAAUUCUUCAAAUAACUUAAAAUUAAUUUAUAUAUACACAUACUUUCUUAUUAAAAAAACUAAUAAAAAAAUAGAAACUAACGGAGAAUUAAUAGAAUAAGCCUUUAUAUAAUAUUAUGUGAUAUUACAAUAUUAAUUAAUCAUUUCAUCCUCUUUCCUUUAGCAUCAUAUAGAAUAUUGUAAAAUCUACCUAUAAUUAUAAUCAUAUUAAAAAGUUUAUAAAAUUAUUUCAAUUAUUUUCAUUUUGUAAUUAAGGAAGGUUCAUCUAAAGGUUUCACUCUCCAACUCCCUUUGGCUUUGGCAUGAUUAUUGGAGUAGCCAACUGGAGGGGUAGCUGCAUUUUGUUGUUCUUGUGAAGAAUGUAAUACGGUUCUAUUUUAAGAAAAAAGAGUUAUGGAUAUCUAGUUACUUUCAUUUGGAAAUUGUAAACAUAAAGAAUAUUUUUGGUAUUGUUUGUCAUGUACCAAAUUUAUAUACGACUAUUGCAAUUGCUUGAAUAUUUAUUUUUAUGUUGCAGCUUUUCAAAAAAA